GACGAACGCUGGCGGCGUGCUUAACACAUGCAAGUCGAACGAUGAAGAAGAGAAACGCGAACUUCGGUUCAAAUUUCACUUCGGAUUAGUGGCAGACGGGUGAGUAACGCGUGAGCAACCUACCUCUUACAAAGGGAUAGCCUCGGGAAACCGUGAUUAAUACCAUAUGACACAUUCAUAAGGCAUCUUAAGAAUGUUAAAGCUACGGCGGUAAGAGAUGGGCUCGCGUCCCAUUAGCUAGUUGGUGAGGUAACGGCCCACCAAGGCGACGAUGGGUAACCGGCCUGAGAGGGUGAACAGUCACAUUGGAACUGAGACACGGUCCAAACUCCUACGGGAGGCAGCAGUGGGGAAUAUUGCACAAUGGAGGGAACUCUGAUGCAGCGACGCCGCGUGAGCGAUGAAGGAAUUCGUUUCGUAAAGCUCUGUUCUAUGGGAAGAAAAGGACUGUACCAUAGGAGAAAGCCCCGGCUAAAUACGUG
Molecule: ribosomal RNA, 482 nt
Filed under: uncultured bacterium
Lineage: Bacteria
Description: partial 16S ribosomal RNA
Rfam family: Bacterial small subunit ribosomal RNA
Source: RNAcentral